AAUAACAUUUUUUAAACAUUUUUAAACAUUUUUUUUAAAACGACAGAAUAAGAAACGUCCUUGGAGAUACUCUACAAGUUCAAAACUUUUUGUCCCAGUGGAUCAACUGAGGCCCAGUGGCAGAAAAUGGCUUGCUUGAGGUCCUACCGUCUGAAAACCACCUUCUGAACGCAGCCUUCCUUACUCACGGCCGCCGGAAGGAGGCACCCCCUCUCCACGCCCCUGGUUCUUAUUUACCACACUGUCCAGGCGAAUCCACGAGACUGGGGGCCUCCCGAGGGCAGGUCGGAGUUCCGUUCAUCUUCAUACGGAUGACUUAGCAGAGAGGAAGUCUUCAACAGGGGUUGGCAGG
This is a long non-coding RNA of Felis catus (domestic cat), 352 nucleotides long. RefSeq lists it as uncharacterized. The transcript is spliced from 3 exons. The record is from RefSeq and is a predicted model, not a curated record. NCBI's taxonomy places the organism in Eukaryota, Metazoa, Chordata, Mammalia, Carnivora, Felidae.